UACGGAGGGUGCAAGCGUUGUCCGGAUUUAUUGGGCUUAAAGGGUGCGUAGGCGGCCCGUUAAGUCAGUGGUGAAAGCCUCCAGCUCAACUGGAGAACUGCCAUUGAUACUGACGGGCUUGAGUACAGACGAGGUAGGCGGAAUUGAUUGUGUAGCGGUGAAAUGCAUAGAUACAAUCAAGAACUCCGAUUGCGUAGGCAGCUUACUAGGCUGUAACUGACGCUGAGGCACGAAAGCGUGGGGAGCGAACAGG
RNAcentral lists this ribosomal RNA (253 nucleotides) under uncultured bacterium. RNAcentral's name for it is "partial 16S ribosomal RNA". It matches the Rfam family "Bacterial small subunit ribosomal RNA", at positions 524 to 776 of the family's 1533-position model. The record is from RNAcentral.